Molecule: ribosomal RNA, 235 nt
Filed under: uncultured bacterium
Lineage: Bacteria
Description: partial 16S ribosomal RNA
Rfam family: Bacterial small subunit ribosomal RNA
Source: RNAcentral
UGGCGGACGGGUGAGUAAUGUCUGGGAAACUGCCCGAUGGAGGGGGAUAACUACUGGAAACGGUAGCUAAUGCCGCAUAACGUCGCAAGACCAAAGAGGGGGACCUUCGGGCCUCUUGCCAUCGGAUGUGCCCAGAUGGGAUUAGCUAGUAGGUGGGGUAACGGCUCACCUAGGCGACGAUCCCUAGCUGGUCUGAGAGGAUGACCAGCCACACUGGAACUGAGACACGGUCCAG